GCCCGAAUGGCGGAAUCGGUAGACGCCGGGGACUUAAAAUCCCCUGACUUUCGGGUCGUGCCGGUUCGAGUCCGGCUUUGGGCA
RNAcentral lists this transfer RNA (84 nucleotides) under Panacagrimonas perspica. It matches the Rfam family "tRNA". From Rfam's summary of the family: Transfer RNA (tRNA) molecules are approximately 80 nucleotides in length. Lineage: Bacteria; Pseudomonadati; Pseudomonadota; Gammaproteobacteria; Nevskiales; Nevskiaceae. The record is from Rfam by way of RNAcentral.